Scleropages formosus (Asian bonytongue) is the source of this 1079-nucleotide long non-coding RNA. RefSeq lists it as uncharacterized. The record is from RefSeq and is a predicted model, not a curated record. NCBI's taxonomy places the organism in Eukaryota, Metazoa, Chordata, Actinopteri, Osteoglossiformes, Osteoglossidae. The transcript has 3 exons.
AGACGCAAGUAAGAGCAUCAAUGAAUCACGAUUUUGCUUCCCUCCUUUAACUCAAAUUGACAGGAAGCACAAAACAAAAGCUGGCAGCUCCUGGAGGGGGGGCUCGGAAAAUGAUCUCAUUCCUAUGAACGCAGAGAAAAGUCAAGAAAAUGAUGCAGAAACGCAGCAUGAAAACAAGAAGCGAAACAGGACAUCACUGGAAUCGCCACCCUUCUUGAGUACGGAAGACAAUUACACCUCUGCUGUGAAAAGGACAUUGCUGGAAUCACCACCCUUCUUGAGCAGCAGUAACGGGUCACAAUCGUAACAAUGUUAGUUCCUGUACUGUCUAUUCCACCUUGUUUAAAACAGUAUUUCAACUUCUCAGCCUUCUGACCAAGGAUAAAGUUCUGGACAGAGUGCAGAGAUUAGAUUGCCAGAGUGCCAUCGACUGCGUGACUGAGUGUGAUUUGGUCGCUGCUGUUAUGGGGGAACCUCUGCCUCCCAGCACACUUUUUUUUUUUUUUGGUCUGGGUAGCACAUGGAGCCCAAGUGCAGCUUUGUCUAGUGAUUUUUCCUAAUUGCUCAGUGUAAGGUCCCUCAAGACAACAGGUUCAAGGAUCCCGACUGAAGAACACCAUCCACUUUCACUGGUGGAACGGGGAUGAUGGUGGUGGGUUUCCUGAGCAGGUUCCCUAACCCUUCGUCCUUGGACUCAUGAGACUUCCAGGUAAGGAAACGGUCUGCAUCACUAUUGACUGAGGAGCUGUAGCAGAGGGUUCGGGAGCCACUCUCCUACUUUACUGAUCCAAAGUGGAGGGAUGACUAACUGUCACUGAGCACAUCUUCAACCCCUUGUCUCCAGCUAUUGAGAGCCUUCUUAGGGAAGUUUGUGUUUAAAGGACGUGAGGACCGGACGGAUGCGGUCGCCAUCUGGAAUGGGCUUGGCUGUUUUCAUGUGCGUCUUCAUGGAUUUUGCACCACACCGGGACUUGGGCGAGGCUGGAGGCUACCAGUUUGAGGGACAGUCUCCCUCCCACCACCUGAGUUUUAGCUGAGGACAUACUGGCAAGGACUAAGGGCAUGAAGUGCCAAAGGUG